GUUCGCGCGGCGGGGCUCUGCGCUCCCGGCUGGCUGAGUCCUGUGGAUGCUCUACAGGCUGGGUGAGGGCAGCGUCCGUUGUGGUAUCUUUGCCGAGCCGUGAGCCUCCAGUAUUGGCUCCGUCUCCCUGAGACUCGUUGUCCCGACUAUGGGAUGGGCUGCCUGUCACGGAGAUAUCCGCCCAGGCCGCGCGCUCUCCCGGGCCUCCUCACCCUGUCCUCGUCCCCGCUGCCCCGGCUAGCGGCACCCAGGGCCCUGUAGGCAUUUUACGCAGGGAGGGGUGAGGAUUGAGGCCCACACUGCCACGGUCAGCCUGAGGUCAUCCAUCCUUUGGCAGGGCUGGGGUCGGGUCUGCCGACCCGCGGGACCCACCGGGGUAUCCGCCUUUCAGUGUGCAGCUCCGCCCCCAGGGUCCCGAGGCGUUGGCGGUGAUGACAGACCGGCUCAGUCAUCAACCCCUAGGAUCAGU
This 469-nucleotide long non-coding RNA is filed under the name Lynx canadensis (Canada lynx). Its description in RNAcentral is "lncRNA (ENSLCNG00005013759.1)". Lineage: Eukaryota; Metazoa; Chordata; Mammalia; Carnivora; Felidae. The record is from RNAcentral.